UAUUGGGUUGACCAAAAGUUCAUUCAGAUUUUCCUGCAAGAUCUUACAGAAAAUCUUGAAUGUACUUUCUGGUCAACCCAAUA
MicroRNA precursor from Bos grunniens (domestic yak), 83 nucleotides. The record is from Ensembl. NCBI's taxonomy places the organism in Eukaryota, Metazoa, Chordata, Mammalia, Artiodactyla, Bovidae.